Molecule: long non-coding RNA, 430 nt
Filed under: Citrus x clementina
Lineage: Eukaryota; Viridiplantae; Streptophyta; Magnoliopsida; Sapindales; Rutaceae
Description: Citrus clementina (C. clementina) long non-coding RNA (CCLE_LNC004677)
Source: RNAcentral
ACGACAAGGACUUCGUACAAUUUUGUCCGUUGUCUCCUUGUCUUCAGCAAACGAAUCCAAAUCCAUGCAACCAACUAAGGCAGUGCUGGGUAAAGUCUCUUUCUCUAGUGUGGGUGUGGCUGGCAAUGGUAUGUCUUCUUCAAUAGAAGCAACAAUUUCUUCGGUUCCGAUAUUAAUAUUACCAUCUUUGGCAACAAUUUCUUCGGUUCCGAUAUUAAUAUUACCAUCUUUCUUACUGUGGCUUUUGUUUUUCAUAAUUGCCGAUCCAAUUUUUUUGCCAGCUUUCCUAUCCGAUGCAACGCCUGUGCCGGCGGCGGCCACGUCCACCUUCACUGGUAGUGUUUUUUCACUAGAUGGCCUCCAGAAGGUGUGAAUUUUUCUGCUCAAAUGCGAGUUCCAGUAGUUCUUUAUCUCGUUAUCUGUUCUACCU